Molecule: long non-coding RNA, 773 nt
Filed under: Gossypium barbadense (sea-island cotton)
Lineage: Eukaryota; Viridiplantae; Streptophyta; Magnoliopsida; Malvales; Malvaceae
Description: long non-coding RNA (GBAR_LNC016185)
Source: RNAcentral
UAAGUCUAAAAAUUUUUAUUUUUAUUUUUUGACUAGAAAAUGGCAUCAUAGUAAAUUUCACAAGCCUCUGUGUAGAAGCCCAAAUUUGCUGGCCUAGUAAAAAUAAUAACCCAAUCACAAAUGGGCCCAAAAAUUAAAAACCUAGCCCAAACAACAUUAACAUUUUCAGCAGAAAUGAGUAAAAGAAACCCUAGGAGCUGCAUGCCUCGGGUGGCCUCCUCGUCUGCCACCCCCAGCCACCAGGCACCUUCAGCGCACGCCUCUGACACUGCCGCCGUUGGCCCUCCACGCGUGUCAGACCACCUGCAGAGAGAAAUGAAGGCAAAGAAAUAAAGAGCAAUCAAUAAUAAUAAAAACAGUUUGUAAUGGCCUAUAAAAAACAAGAAGAGCCAUUUUUAGAGCUUCUUGGAUUUUCUUUGUAAAAAAACUCACAUCAGAAAUCAAAAGCUGAAUAGAAAUUUUAAAGGGUUAAAUCCUUGUUAUUUACUCUUCGUUUUUUCUUUUUUUCUUUUUAUUUAUUUGUUUGUUUUAUUCUUUUUUUUCCUUUCUUUUGCAAAUCUAUUUUAAAUAACUAUAAAAUCAAAAGCAAAAAAAUAAGGGGAAGAGAAACUCACCGGAGUUGGCCGUGACCGUGCCGCCGGGGGGUCUCUCCUUCAUCGUCGGCCGUCGAUCUUUGUGGCUGUGGCGGUGGCGCUCCAUGUGUUAAGAAACCCAAGAGUUGGGUGUUUGAAAGAAAGGAGUUUAAAGAAAAGGAGAGACUCUUUCAGUUUUCG